RNAcentral lists this ribosomal RNA (467 nucleotides) under uncultured bacterium. RNAcentral describes it as "partial 16S ribosomal RNA". It matches the Rfam family "Bacterial small subunit ribosomal RNA", at positions 28 to 506 of the family's 1533-position model. The record is from RNAcentral.
GACGAACGCUGGCGGCGUGCUUAACACAUGCAAGUCGAACGGAAAGGCCCUGCUUUUGUGGGGUGCUCGAGUGGCGAACGGGUGAGUAACACGUGAGUAACCUGCCCUUGACUUUGGGAUAACUUCAGGAAACUGGGGCUAAUACCGGAUAGGAGCUCCUGCUGCAUGGUGGGGGUUGGAAAGUUUCGGCGGUUGGGGAUGGACUCGCGGCUUAUCAGCUUGUUGGUGGGGUAGUGGCUUACCAAGGCUUUGACGGGUAGCCGGCCUGAGAGGGUGACCGGCCAAAUUGGGACUGAGAGACGGCCCAGACUCCAACGGGAGGCAGCAGGGGGGAAUAUUGAACAAUGGGCGAAAGCCGGAGGAAGAAACGCCGCGUGCGGGAGGACGGCCUUCGGGUGGUAAACCGCUUUGGCCGGUGACGAAGGGUAGGUAAAGGUAAUGGGAAAAGAAGCACGGGCAAACUACGU